UACGAAGGGGGCUAGCGUUGCUCGGAAUUACUGGGCGUAAAGCGCACGUAGGCGGCUUUUUAAGUCGGAGGUGAAAUCCUGGAGCUCAACUCCAGAACUGCCUUCGAUACUGGAGAGCUUGAGUUCGGGAGAGGUGAGUGGAACUGCGAGUGUAGAGGUGAAAUUCGUAGAUAUUCGCAAGAACACCAGUGGCGAAGGCGGCUCACUGGCCCGAUACUGACGCUGAGGCACGAAAGCGUGGGGAGCAAACAGG
This 253-nucleotide ribosomal RNA is filed under the name uncultured bacterium. RNAcentral describes it as "partial 16S ribosomal RNA". It matches the Rfam family "Bacterial small subunit ribosomal RNA", at positions 524 to 776 of the family's 1533-position model. The record is from RNAcentral.